UAUUGUUGGUGUUCUUAACUCAAGAGAAAUGUUUUCAAGUAUUUAUUCAUUAAAUUUUGAAACCCGGCGUGACGAAUUUUAGAAUGUUAAGUAUUUUCCCUAAGAUAUUAAGUUAGCUUCACGUGACCUAUUAAGAAUAGAAUUUCUUGUAGGCUUUGUGACCAGGGGGAUUAGCGCUGCUUUCCCAAGACAGGUUUUUAUGUGUAUGAUCUUCAGGCUUUGCCUAUCCAGGUUGGCUGGCUGGUGCUGACGGGACGGAGCUGAGGCUAGCGAUAAAUUCCUAUGUUAGACUUCCGCUGUAGCAAUUACUCAUAUCAGUCUUUUGUUUUCCCAACUUAAGAUCUUCAUGUUAAAUUUCAAAUGAUAUAUCUGACCGA
Long non-coding RNA from Salvia miltiorrhiza (redroot sage), 377 nucleotides. RefSeq lists it as uncharacterized. The transcript is spliced from 2 exons. The record is from RefSeq and is a predicted model, not a curated record. NCBI's taxonomy places the organism in Eukaryota, Viridiplantae, Streptophyta, Magnoliopsida, Lamiales, Lamiaceae.